Molecule: ribosomal RNA, 421 nt
Filed under: uncultured bacterium
Lineage: Bacteria
Description: bacterial SSU rRNA
Rfam family: Bacterial small subunit ribosomal RNA
Source: RNAcentral
UAAGGAAUAUUGGUCAAUGGACGCAAGUCUGAACCAGCCAUGCCGCGUGAAGGAUGAAGGUCCUCUGGAUUGUAAACUUCUUUUAUCUGGGACGAAAACGGGAUUUUUAUCUCAAUUGACGGUACCAGAGGAAUAAGCACCGGCUAACUCCGUGCCAGCAGCCGCGGUAAUACGGAGGGUGCGAGCGUUAUCCGGAUUUACUGGGUUUAAAGGGUGCGUAGGUGGGCUUAUAAGUCAGUGGUGAAAUCUCCGAGCUUAACUUGGAAACUGCCGUUGAUACUAUAGGUCUUGAAUUAUCUGGAGGUAAGCGGAAUAUGUCAUGUAGCGGUGAAAUGCUUAGAUAUGACAUAGAACACCAAUUGCGAAGGCGGUCUCUUGGUCCGACACUGACGCUGAGGCGCGAAAGCGUGGGGAGCAAACA